GAGGCAAGAAUGAAAAAAAUAAAAGGUGGAUGACACAAAACCUGCCACCCAGCCUGAGCUUUGCUGAGGACGGCCCCUCCCUCUGUGGCCAGGAAGUCAUUCCCAUUUCUGCUGGAAGGAAACGAUGGUGCCUAUGUAUUUAAAAUCUCCUGGAAAUGAAAGACUCAGUGAUUUCUUAGAAGCAGUAGGGCAGGCAACGUAGGUGUGUGUGUCUGGUGAUGGUGGUGGUGUUUGGGACACGGACAGGUGAAGGGUACGGUGUUACUUGAAACACAAGCGGGAAAUGGCCUCUUUCCUCCUCCUUCACCUUGGAUGUGGACUGGUCCACUCCCAGGUGAAGGGCACUGGCCAGAUGUGUGACCUGGGCGACUUCCUCCAUCUCUCCUGGGUUGGGCUUCUUUUCCUGGAAAACGAGAUUGGGCUAGAUGAUUCCUAAGGUCUGACUAAACCUAACUUGUCUCCGAGUCCAUCAUUCGUAGCAAAACAGAAAUCACAGAGCAGGAGAAAAUGUUCUUCAGGUGGACUUCCUGUUCAAGGUCUUUUCUGAUUUCCCACAGGGGCAGUGAAGUCAUGAACGAGUCUGUGAAACAACAUCAUUUUCUUGGAGGUGGUUUGUGCCCUUUGCAAAAUGAACCAACUAACCCAUCAGUUAACCAACUAACCCAUCAGUUAACCAACUAACUACACGACUAAAUCAACUCACUGACCAACACACACCCGAACAGGUAGGAAUGGAAACGUCCUCUUCUGUGAAAAACAGUGAAUGACGCUGCAACGGGGAGUGAUGCUGAGCUCUCCGCAGCAACCCCGGGCCUGCGGGGUCCAGCAGACCCCAAAUGUGAACGACAGUAAAGUACGUGGCUGACUAGACUGGUCUUGCAGCCAGGCCGGUGUGCCUUGGGAUGAAAUAUUUCCAAGGAUGGUUUUUCUCUAAAACUCCGAUGGCUGGAUGGCAGCCCCGGGGUGUUUCGUGACAUGAACCUGUAAGCGUCUGGUACUCCCUGGCUCGCAGGGCACCGGCUACUUUGGUUUCAUGUGGCCCUGCCAACAGUGGAGAGGCGCCGUGUGCACUUUCAGUCACGUGACCCGGUGACUCAGGCCCUUUCUAGUUCAUGCUUGUUGGAGUUUGGGAACCAGGGAGGAAGGGUGAGAAGCUCCCGCACCAGCUCUCUGGGAGGGUCUGGGCUUGAGUAAUAGUUUAUCGUGUGGCUCACCCUGAACCCUUUUUAUGCCAGUGUAAUAAAGUUAUCUUAUAGUUUCAGGAUUGCCAUUUUCAGAUGAGGUUUCCGGAGCUCAUGUAUCCUAGCUCCUGUCUCCAAACGGAGUAAGCCAGAAUCAUCCGAGGGGAAAAAAAAAGUCUACAUUUCACCACUUCCUUUAAUGAAAUGGUUUGGUGUUUAACCACCUCGUCACCAGAAAUAUCUCUGUGCUCUUGACCUAAAUUCACCCUGCCACGUUUCAGCGUGAUUCCGGUUACUCAGGGAGACAGACUGGAAAAUUCAUUUCAUAGCAGUAGGAGUGUCUAAGUAACCUUAAGGGAAGGUGCUUAUUCCAACUUUAUUUUCUCUUCCCUGCCGAUCUAUAGCCCCCUUUCAAACUAGAUUUCAAAGGUUGAACCCCCUUUCCGAAUCUUUCACUGCUGAACCCCUGUCAUCCAGAGAGACCAGAACACACGAGCUUGGGGUUCAUUUUUCAUGCACUUGUUCUUGUUGACAAGCUCUUUUGCAAAUGUUCUGAGUCUAUUUCAGGUCACAGCGCUCUGUAUUUGCAAGUAGGAUGGAUUCUCUUUAAUGCAACUCUGGUGCUGUGAAAAAUGCCUGGGCUUGGAGUCAGAAGUCCUGGACUUGUCACUCACCAGCUGUUAUUUGAGACACAUUCCUCAGCCUCAGAGAGGUUCCGUUUACUCGUCUGGAAAACAGAGAAAAUGGGGCUUCAACUGCUGGGGUCAUUGUGAAGAUAAAUGAAGGAAAAUGUAUGCAAGUGCUGAGGAUAAUGGCUCACAUUUGACGGGUGACCCGCAGGCACUAAUUCACAUUUUUUUAAGGGCAGUGCCUAUAACUUCUAUUUCUAUAGUUUUCCUUGUUAAGGGCUCAGGGUGCUGCUUUGCCCACUGGAGAAGCUUCGUGAGGACUGCUGACUGGCCAGCUUAUUUGGUAGCUGAGGACACACAAUCGGAAAAGGAUUUAGGGUCAUUUUGUGGUCUGAAGUCUGGUGAAGUCCCAGAUUGCGGGUGCCCACAGCAGGUGGGUUGCAGGAGAUGGAACGAUGGGGCAGUAUGUGUCUGCCGGGAAACCAGGUGAGGCAAGAGCCAUAGAAUAGGAAUCUAGGGGAAACAUAACUGAGGAUUUGCUCUGAAAGAGAAGUCUGAUGCAGGCAUAUGGGCAAGAAACGGUCCCAUAAGCAACUCUGUCUCUUGUAACUUCUCCAGCUCUUAGAGUUCACCUUUGUGCUGCCUUUCUGUGUUACUGCGUCACUUCAACAAGUCCGUUCUGAUCCUUAUCUGUGAGAGGUGGGGCUUCUGUAUCCAGGUGCUCAAGUUGAUUGCCUAGGAAGUUGCAGAAGUAAUUUCUGCGAAAACAACUUAUUUUCCCCAGAAAGCACAGGAUCUGUCCUCCAUCUAGUUCCUUAGGGCUUCUUCCGCACCAGGGUCCGAGACCCCAUGAUAUGGCUGCAGCGAGGCUCUGCUGCCAAUCCCUGACUCACACAGGACAGUCUCUAAGGAUAGGACAAGUACCCUUGGACCUGUGUUCCUACAACUUCUGCAAGAGCCUCCCCGGGCACAUACCCAGCAUGGGGGAAUUGCUGGGCGUGAGAUUCCACAUACAAUUUAGCACUUUUUAAAUUCACUAUAAUAUAUCUAGGUAUGGAUCCCCUGCUUAUCUAUGUUUUAUAAAAACACUCCGGGAUCUAUACCUUCUCUCUGGAAACUUUUAGAAUUGUCAUUUUUGUUUUUGGUUUCCUGGACCAUAUUUAUUUUCUUUACUUUCUGAGCCCCAUGACAUGACAGCAAAGGAAUAAAAACUGGUAUAAACUUCCAAUAAUGUAGAGAACAUGGAGAGAGUCUUCAGAAGAUAGGCAAUUAUGUGAUGUGUGGAUUAUAAGAAGUAGGACGGUCACCACAUGGAACCUGGGUCCACUCAUCCGAUGUGCAGCAAAGCCAAUCCGCUGACACAGGGCUAUGGCGAAGGAAAGUAUAGCAUUUAUUACAGGGCACCAAGCAAGGAGAUCGCUCCUCCUCAAGGGAUAUAUUGAUACAUAACAAUCUGAUACAAAUCUUUGAGUUCUUCUAUAGGAACUAAGGUCCUCACCCAGGUAACUUCAGGCUGAGCACAAGAUUCCUGGAGCACUGCCUUGUUACCUCACCACUAACCAAUCAGAAGAAAGUCGUGCACCACACAGCCCUCACCCCAAAUUUUGCUUUUAAAAACUCUCCUCUGAAAACCAGCAGGGAGUUUGGGUCUUUUGAGCAUGAUCUGCCUGUUCUCCCUGCUUGGCCUUUGGAAUAAACCUUUCUCUGCUCCAAACUGUGAUGUUUCCAUUUGUUUGGCCUUACUGUGAGUAGGGCACAUGAACUUGGGUUCAACACAGUUUCGUUCUUGUCUAAAGAAAUCAAACAACCUGUUUUUAGUGUGGGCAAUAAUGCCACAUCUGGGAUCCAUUUCUAUUCACCCUGAAACGGAGCCCAGUAGUCAACAGUGGCACACUGAGUUCACGGUCAGCUUUAAUAAUUCCCACCAGUGACUACUUACUUGAGGGAAUUGUGAUACAUGAAAAGAAACGUCAUGGAAUAGAGAAAUAAUCUCACAGGAAUACAAGAGAUAAUUCAGGGUAAAUAAGGAGCUUGAGAGAAACUAAUUUGUAUCCACAGAGACAUUUAUGAAGACACCAUGUCAAUUAAACAAGAAGAAGAGGCUAUGAAAAGGCUAAUUAAAAAGCUGGAAGAUAAAAUAGAGAAAAUUAAAAGACGAAGAGUAUAAAAUGAUCAACAACAACAAUAAAAACAUUUAGAAUAACCCAGGGGCUCAACAUCCAGCUGAUAGGAGAUUUAAAAAAAAAAAAAGUGGGGCUUCCCUGGUGGCGCAGUGGUUGAGAGUCCGCCUGCCGAUGCAGGGGACACGGGUUCGUGCCCCGG
Aethalodelphis obliquidens (Pacific white-sided dolphin) is the source of this 4132-nucleotide long non-coding RNA. RefSeq lists it as uncharacterized. The transcript has 4 exons. The record is from RefSeq and is a predicted model, not a curated record. NCBI's taxonomy places the organism in Eukaryota, Metazoa, Chordata, Mammalia, Artiodactyla, Delphinidae.